UCUCCACUUACUUAUGAUCUCUGUCAAAUAAAUAAAUCUUAAAAAAAAAAAAAAAGAACGAGGAAUUUUGUUAGAACAUUCACAAUACAAUUUAGCAACCCUGUUUAUUAUUUUAAAAUGACACACGUACCACACCAGGACUCCAAAGGCUUGCUUCCGAUCCUGGCUGUGUGGCUUCCAGUGAAUCACUUACCUCUCUGAGCCUCAAUUUUGGGAUCUAUCAAACAUGGGGAUUAAACCCAACGAGGGGGUUCCAUUUUCUUUAUUCAAACAAAAUCUUAUUUGGGAUCCAACAUCUAAAACACACUAAAAGCUGCGUUUCUCAGUUUUGUGUCAUUUUUGUUUUUCAGGAGGGGAAGGGUCCCCACAGGCCAGCUCUUUGCUCCCCUCCCGCACCCUGAGGCAUCCGGAGGCCUCUCCCUGAGCCCCAGCAUGGAGCCCGGAGCCUAGUGAGGCAGCUCAGAGAAGCACAGAUUGGGAAAUGGAGGCUCCAGCAAAGACGGCCCGGCCUGAUGGCCUCGUGCUGCUCGCGAGGACUCGAUCCAAGGUGGACCGGAAGCUCACGUGUUCUUCUAAGACACUAGGUGAACAUAGGAAAGUUCUUUGAAAAAGAAACUCCUUUGUUUCUAAAGGAAGAAUGUGGCGUUCUAGCUCAGCAGCUCCUGCUCUGAAUGGGCAACACCACGGAGCAGAGCACCAGCUCUGGUACGAACUCAGGAACUCACUCACGUUCUGUAAAGAAGCUUUGCCCAAGAGCAGUAUAGUCAUCGUGGCAGCGGCACAGACACAAAAGAAAUUCAACAGAAACAUCAUCUUGCUGGUAGAUAAAAAACAGUAGAAGGAGCCCAGCAUAACCAGGACUGCCAAGAGUAAAGGGGGAGCCAAAAAGGGGAGAGUCAGAGAAGGCAGAAACUUUAAAUUCUGUGUAGAGACUCCACUCAAGUCUCUGGCAGAUCCCCUCGAACCAGGCAUGUGUGAAAGAAGUUUGCAGCCAAGGCUUCGAGAACAGAACCGAGAUCUGAGCCAUCGCCCAGUAGAGCACGGCAGGGUUGGCGGUGGGGCUAACCAAAUCCACUGCCUAAAACAAAAACCUCAGCGCCAUUCAGAACAGUAAAACAAUCCAAAGCCUCCACAAUAGAACAUUUCCAAUGUCCAGGAUAUAAUCCACAGUUACUGAAUUUGUGAAGAGUGAGGAAAAUAGGAUCCAUUUCCAAGGAGAAAGUGAACCAACAGAUGCUAAUCCCAAGAGGACGUGGAUGUUGGACUUUUCACACAAGGACUUUCAAGCAGCUAUUCUAACUAUGCUCAGUGAGGGGAACAAUAAUUUGGAUUACCACAGAAGUCUCCUCAAAAAGCAUGGAAGUCAGAAGACAGCACUAAGAGAAAGAAACUUGUCCCUGAACACUCUGUGAUUCAGUCAUGAAGGUGAAAGGAAGAGCUCACUUUCAGAUAAAGAAAAACUAAGUUAAUUUGUCCCCAUGCUGCUAUCCUAUACAGAAUGCUACAUAAAAGGUCUUCAGGCUGCAGAGCAUUGAUAACAGAGAGAAAGAGGUUUUCAGGAAUGAGUGAAGAACAUCAGAAAUAAAUACUGUAUGAGUAAAUAUGAAAGACUGUAUUUUCUCUUAAUUUCUCUAAAGUACAUGUGACUAUUAAAGCAAAAAUUAUAACAAUGUAUUGUGAGUUUAUAAUUCAUGCAAAUGUGAUACCUAUAAUAACUAUGACAGCGGGGGGGGUAAAUGGACAUAUAUCUUGAGAGAUUUCUACAUUUUACACAAAAUAGUACAAUAUUACUUUUAAGUGGACUAUGAACAGUUAAUAUGUCAUGAUCUGCAGAGUGAUGGCUAAUAUAUUAGAGAAAAGACACAGCAAAAUGCCAAUAGAUAUAUUAAAAUGGGAUUCUAAAAGACAAAUAAUCCAAAAGAAAACAAGAAAAAGGGAACAAAUAAGCAAAACAAACCAGAGGGAGUAAACAGAAAACAAACAACGACAGACCUAAAUCCUCAUACCGAUUAUUAAAGGUCAAUGGACCAUAUACUCCAAUGAGAGAGACUAUCAGAAUAUAUUUUAAAAAAGCAAGACUUAAGUAUGUAUGACCUACCAGAGAUGCACAUUAAAUACAGAGACAUCAAUCAGGUGAAAAUAAAUGCAUGGAAAAAGAUACACUGUACAAACAGUAAACUUAGAGGGCAGGAACAGCUAUAUUAAUAACGCGCAGUAACAGACUUCAAGAUGGAAUAUGAACAA
Molecule: long non-coding RNA, 2244 nt
Organism: Neogale vison (American mink)
Lineage: Eukaryota; Metazoa; Chordata; Mammalia; Carnivora; Mustelidae
Exons: 5
Source: RefSeq, a predicted model, not a curated record